Non-coding RNA from Strigamia maritima, 73 nucleotides. NCBI's taxonomy places the organism in Eukaryota, Metazoa, Arthropoda, Chilopoda, Geophilomorpha, Linotaeniidae. The record is from Rfam.
GGGGGCGUAGCUCAAAUGGUAGAGUGCUCGCUUAGCAUGCGAGUGGUACCAGGAUCGAUACCUGGCGCCUCCA